This 488-nucleotide ribosomal RNA is filed under the name uncultured bacterium. RNAcentral describes it as "bacterial SSU rRNA". It matches the Rfam family "Bacterial small subunit ribosomal RNA", at positions 29 to 526 of the family's 1533-position model. The record is from RNAcentral.
AACGAACGUUGGCGGCGUGCCUAACACAUGCAAGUCGAGCGCGGGCAGGACUUCGGUCCUGUUCCGAGCGGCGCACGGGUGAGUAACACGUGAGUAACCUGCCUCGAAGUUUGGGAUAACCGCCCGAAAGGGUGGCUAAUACCGGAUAAGCCCCCACUGGCACAGGCCAGAGAGGGAAAAGGACCUUGGCGCUUCGAGAUGGGCUCGCGUCCCAUUAGCUAGUUGGUGAGGUAACGGCUCACCAAGGCGAAGAUGGGUAGCUGGUCUGAGAGGAUGAUCAGCCACACUGGAACUGAGACACGGUCCAGACUCCUACGGGAGGCAGCAGUGGGGAAUAUUGCGCAAUGGGCGAAAGCCUGACGCAGCAACGCCGCGUGGGUGAAGAAGGUCUUCGGAUCGUAAAGCCCUGUCAGGAGGGACGAAACAAAUGACGGUACCUCCAAAGGAAGCACUGGCUAACUCCGUGCCAGCAGCCGCGGUAAAGUCAC